UCGCAAGGCUUGCCGGUUCCCACGCGAUGGCCGAACUCACCGAACCGGCUACGCACGUAGGCUUCCGGCGGCAGGCUUUCUCGGACGCGGGUUCGACUCCCGCCGCCUCCACCA
Molecule: transfer-messenger RNA, 114 nt
Filed under: Candidatus Solibacter sp.
Lineage: Bacteria; Pseudomonadati; Acidobacteriota; Terriglobia; Bryobacterales; Solibacteraceae
Description: partial transfer-messenger RNA
Rfam family: transfer-messenger RNA
About the family: Bacterial tmRNA, also known as 10Sa RNA or SsrA, is named for its dual tRNA and mRNA-like properties.
Source: RNAcentral